GACGAACGCUGGCGGCGUGCCUAAUACAUGCAAGUUGAGCGAUGAAGAUUGGUGCUUGCACCAAUUUUAAGAGCAGCGAACGGGUGAGUAACGCGUGGGGAAUCUGCCUUUGAGCGUGGGACAACUUUGGGAAACGAUUGCUAAUACCGCAUAAUAACUUUAAACAUAAGUUUUAAGAUUGAAAGAUGCAAUUGCAUCACUCAAUGGUUAUCCCGCGUUGUAUUAGCUAGUUGGGUAGGGAAAGGCUCACCAAGGCGAUGAUACAUAACCGACCUGAGAGGGUGAUCGGCCAACUUGGGACUGGGACCAGGCCCAAAAUCCUACGGGAGGCAGCAGUAGGGAAUCUUCGGCAAUGGACGAAAGUCUGACCGAGCAACGCCGCGUGAGUGAAGGAGGUUUUCGGAUCGUAAAACUCUGUUGGUAGAGAAGAACGUUGGUGAGAGUGGAAAGCUCAUCAAGUGACGGUAACUACCCAGAAAGGGACGGCUAACUACGUG
RNAcentral lists this ribosomal RNA (497 nucleotides) under uncultured bacterium. RNAcentral describes it as "partial 16S ribosomal RNA". It matches the Rfam family "Bacterial small subunit ribosomal RNA", at positions 28 to 507 of the family's 1533-position model. The record is from RNAcentral.